ACCUCUUCAGAUCCAAAAUUUCCUCAACUCUUCUACCUUCUACUCGGCAAAGGAAGAAGAAGACUGCUGUGACCUCUUCAGAUCCGAAAUUUCCUCAACUCUUCUACCUUCUACUCGGCAAAGGAAGAAGAAGACUGCUGUGUUCAAUCGAAGAAGAAGAACAGUACAGGGCUUGUCUGACUCUUGCAGCAUCUUCUCGGCCAGCCGCAUGAAAAGGUGUGAUUUCGGGUGAGAAGAAGAGUGAGGAUCAGCAAACCGACCCGAAGUAGAAGAAGAUCUGAAGAAGAUCCGAAGAAGAAGAUUACCCCGAACAAAAGGAGUGGAAAGCUUGAGCUUUCGGCAUAAUACUGAUAAUUUACAAGGAUGGAUAACUUCAACUAUCACGGAUACAUACUUGAAAUACACCAUGGCAGAUCCUUUAAGGAAGAAGGAGGGGAAAUUUUGUACAGUGGGGGUGAGAUAAUGCGUUGGGAUAUUGACCCAGACAAAGUAUCUAUUACUCAUAUGCGAUGCAACCAUAAUUGCGAUGCACACUGCAGAAACAACUACCCUAACAUCAGAAGCAAGGCUCUGUCGAUGCUUUAACUCCUCCUUCAAUUCCUUAAUCUUUAAUUUUAUACACUUCAUUUCCAAUUCAGACGAGGAAACUUCUUCCUCACCAAUUUCUGAAAUGGAUUUCUACUGAGAAGCAUCAAAUUGAUCGUCUAUCCACCUAAAAUAGCCACACCCUCCAUUUUCCCGGUACCUUGGGCAUCCAAUGAAUCUCCUACCUGGGUUCUUUGGCGUGCGUGAUGUUCUCUGUUGAACUCUCAAUCCGCAACUACAAAGGGCUGCAUUGCUCCCAGAAAAGCUUGAACCAGAAGUCUCCACUCUUCGAUGCCUUCCUCUGGAAGCUUGUUGUCCACGUCCAAUAACGACUUCCAUGCCAGUAAUUGAAGACCUUGCACCGGAUUGCAACCAAACAUUUAAUAACUGGAAAAUACACUC
Molecule: non-coding RNA, 987 nt
Organism: Punica granatum (pomegranate)
Lineage: Eukaryota; Viridiplantae; Streptophyta; Magnoliopsida; Myrtales; Lythraceae
Source: RefSeq, a predicted model, not a curated record